GGUGGAGGUGCUGGAGGAGCUUGGUGCUGACUUUCACCACCACCCUCUUGAGUUUGAAGGGCAAGGGGGGCUUCUUGGCGUGGUGGUGAGGUCGGAGAUUUCGUUAUGAGUAUUGGCGAGUUGUGAGCACCCUCAUCUCCUCCUGGUGCGACCCCAACAAUAGAGGUGGUUGAAGGAGGACCCUCUCCAGCAGAUACGAACGGUGUGGAGGCGCU
This 215-nucleotide long non-coding RNA is filed under the name Phaseolus vulgaris (common bean). RNAcentral's name for it is "long non-coding RNA (PVUL_LNC004361)". The record is from RNAcentral. Lineage: Eukaryota; Viridiplantae; Streptophyta; Magnoliopsida; Fabales; Fabaceae.